Molecule: long non-coding RNA, 426 nt
Filed under: Equus caballus (horse)
Lineage: Eukaryota; Metazoa; Chordata; Mammalia; Perissodactyla; Equidae
Description: lncRNA (ENSECAG00000056516.1)
Source: RNAcentral
GCCAGCGGUGACACAUGAAGGAGAUCACUGUGGCCGAUCCUGCCUGCGGCAUCCAGAACAGGUGCUCUCCCCACACCCUGCCCAGAGGUUAUCUCAGGCCUGAAGCUCGCAUUGACAUCCCACACUUCGUGCACUGAGCCAGGCAGCAUCCAGCACACAUGAGGGCAGCCUGGUUAUGACAGCAACACGUCAUAUGCCCACAGCCAGACACAGCUGGAAUCACAGCCUCCCGUCCACCGCUACACAGCUGGGCGACCUUGGGCCUCACGCAGACAAACGUGCUCAUCAAGAGGGAGGAGCUGGGCCAGGGCCCGUGAGGAUUUCUCUAAAAUCCUUUUCUGUGGCUCUGACUUCUGAGCCCCCAAGUUCCUCUUCUCCGAGCCAGAACCAGGAUUUGCAUCAGGGGACCACAGCGCCUGACUUUCC